RNAcentral lists this ribosomal RNA (294 nucleotides) under uncultured bacterium. Its description in RNAcentral is "partial 16S ribosomal RNA". It matches the Rfam family "Bacterial small subunit ribosomal RNA", at positions 173 to 461 of the family's 1533-position model. The record is from RNAcentral.
CGGAGGCUCGUCGCAUGGCGAGUUGUCUGAAGGUAGGGACCCUUCGGGGCCUGCCACUUGAGGAGGGGCCUGCGUCCCAUCAGCUAGUUGGUAGGGUAACGGCCUACCAAGGCUUACGGGUAGCUGGUCUGAGAGGAUGGUCAGCCACACUGGGACUGAGACACUGCCCAGACUCCUACGGGAGGCUGCACGAGAAUCUUUUGCAAUGCGCGAAAGCGUGACAAAGCGACGCUGCGGAGGAUGAAGGCCUUCGGGUUGUAAACUCCUGUCAUUCGGGAAAAAGGCCCGGCGUGA